GAUGAACGCUGGCGGCGUGCUUAACAUAUGCAAGUCGAACGGAAAGGCUCCUUCUUGCCGGGGUACUCGAGUGGCGAACGGGUGAGUAACGCGUGGGUGAUCUUCCCUGCACUUCGGGAUAAGCCUGGGAAACUGGGUCUAAUACCGGAUAGGACCACAUUUUGGAUGGUUUGGUGGAAAGUUUUUCGGUGUGGGAUGAGCUCGCGGCCUAUCAGCUUGUUGGUGGGGUAAUGGCCUACCAAGGCGUCGACGGGUAGCCGGCCUGAGAGGGUGUGCGGCCACAUUGGGACUGAGAUACGGCCCAGACUCCUACGGGAGGCAGCAGUGGGGAAUAUUGCACAAUGGGCGCAAGCCUGAUGCAGCGACGCCGCGUGGGGGAUGACGGCCUUCGGGUUGUAAACUCCUUUCGCUAGGGACGAAGCGCAAGUGACGGUACCUGGAGAAGAAGCACCGGCUAACUACGUG
This 465-nucleotide ribosomal RNA is filed under the name uncultured bacterium. RNAcentral describes it as "partial 16S ribosomal RNA". It matches the Rfam family "Bacterial small subunit ribosomal RNA", at positions 28 to 507 of the family's 1533-position model. The record is from RNAcentral.